AAAGGAAUUGACGGAAGUGCACCACCAGGAGUGGAGCCUGCGGCUCAAUUUGACUCAACACGGGGAAACUCACCCGGCCCGGACACUGUAAGGAUUGACAGAUUGAGAGCUCUUUCUUGAUUCGGUGGAUGGUGGUGCAUGGCCGUUCUUAGUUGGUGGAUUGAUUUGUCUGGUUUAUUCCGAUAACGAACGAGACUCUAGCCUGCUAAAUAGGGCAUCCUCAGGCCCGGAGGAGAGCCUUAUUCAACUUCUUAGAGGGACAGGUGCCGUUCAGGCACACGAAAUUGAGCAAUAACAGGUCUGUGAUGCCCUUAGAUGUUCGGGGCCGCACGCGCGCUACAGUGAAAGAAUCAGAGUGCUUUUCCUGCGCCGAAAGGCGUGGGCAACCCCUAUAAACUCUUUCGUGCUUGGGAUUGGGGUUUGCAAUUAUCGCCCAUGAACGAGGAAUUCCCAGUAAGCGUGAGUCAUCAGCUUGCGUUGAUUACGUCCCUGCCCUUUGUACACACCGCCCGUCGCUACUACCGAUUGGAUGGUCUAGUGAGGUCAUCGGACUUGCUGCGAGGUUGAGGUUUACCCUCGACCUUGUCGUGCGAGGAAGAUAAUCAAGCUGUAUCAUCUAGAGGAAGUAAAAGUCGUAACAAGGUUUUC
This 648-nucleotide ribosomal RNA is filed under the name Symbion americanus. RNAcentral describes it as "SSU rRNA". It matches the Rfam family "Eukaryotic small subunit ribosomal RNA", at positions 1146 to 1804 of the family's 1831-position model. Lineage: Eukaryota; Metazoa; Cycliophora. The record is from RNAcentral.